AAGACUAUAGACCUGCGGAGUACCUGCGGAGGGAUCAUUACUGAGUAUCGCGGUCUUCGGACCCGCUACCCGCCCUCUGUCAUAUGUUGGACGAGGUCGUCUCUCUCGGGGCGGCCUCCGACCCCACUUCCCGGGAGGCGUCGCGCCCCGUCGAGGCCCUAGGCUUCGGCGGGGAUGGGACCGCCCGGGGUCUUUUUCCAAACCCUUUGUGAGAAAUCUGAAGUCCGAUUUUAUAAAAAA
Molecule: unclassified non-coding RNA, 240 nt
Filed under: soil metagenome
Description: partial contains 5.8S ribosomal RNA, internal transcribed spacer 2, and large subunit ribosomal RNA
Source: RNAcentral